ACGGGAGGCAGCAGCUAAGAAUAUUCCGCAAUGGACGAAAGUCUGACGGAGCGACGCCGCGUGGAUGAUGAAGGUCGGAAGAUUGUAAAAUCCUUUUAAGUAUGAAGAAUAAGCAGGACAGGUAAUGGUCCUGUGGUGACGGUAGUACUUGAAUAAGCAACGGCUAAUUACGUGCCAGCAGCCGCGGUAAUACGUAAGUUGCGAGCGUUGUUCGGAAUUAUUGGGCGUAAAGGGCAUGUAGGCGGUCUGUCAAGCCAGGCGUGAAAGCCAGGGGCUCAACCCCUGAACUGCGCUUGGAACUGGCGGACUGGAGUCGCUGAGGGGGAACCGGAAUUCCUGGUGUAGGGGUGAAAUCUGUAGAUAUCAGGAAGAACACCGAUGGCGAAGGCAGGUUUCCAGCAGACGACUGACGCUGAGGUGCGAAGGUGCGGGGAGCAAACAGGAUUAGAUACCCUGGUA
This 459-nucleotide ribosomal RNA is filed under the name uncultured Treponema sp. RNAcentral's name for it is "partial 16S ribosomal RNA". It matches the Rfam family "Bacterial small subunit ribosomal RNA", at positions 341 to 792 of the family's 1533-position model. The record is from RNAcentral. Lineage: Bacteria; Pseudomonadati; Spirochaetota; Spirochaetia; Treponematales; Treponemataceae.